GAGACCCGUUUGCGUUUUCGCUCGCUUCGGCUUCGCGCCAGUCAUUUUUUUUUUCAUUUCGUUCAUCUAUCCCGUGAUCCCGUCCCCUCCCUCCUCGAGAUAGAGAGAGAUCCAUGGCGACUUGGAGCUCCCUGUCCGCUCAAUUCAGUAGGAUGAUGGUCAGGCGUCCGGCGCUCUCCCUUCGGCUGCCCCGCCCCCUCCUGCUUCUUCCUCUUUUCCCCCGCCGGAGGUCUGCAACAUCUCUCGUCUCCCGCCGCAUCGCCGGCCCCAUUUUUCUUCGCCCGGCGUUUCUGUUCGUCGAAUUCGGUUGCAAGUCUGUUGCUCUUGACUCUACGAACAAAACCAACAAAUGAGUCAUCGCCAUGAUCUUCUUGAAGCUUGUGUCUCAGAACAUGGAGGAAACGCCACCACUUUGUUGUUUUUCUGUCCGGGUUAGAGAAGGAGGAGGAUGGACCCGUUAAGUUUCUCUUUGAUCUGUACGGUUUGUUUAAAUGAAUGGGACAGAAAAAGGACAUACAAUGGACAAGGGACAGAGGACAAUUGUCACAUUCUAUUGGCUGAAAUAUCCGGCUGAAACUCAAUUGAUUUUCAGCCGGAUGUUAAUUAGACAGUCCCUAUAUCUUACAAAGAAUCCAAUGUAUCACGAGAGAACAAAACACAUUGAUGU
This is a long non-coding RNA of Hordeum vulgare subsp. vulgare (domesticated barley), 667 nucleotides long. RefSeq lists it as uncharacterized. The record is from RefSeq and is a predicted model, not a curated record. The transcript is spliced from 3 exons. NCBI's taxonomy places the organism in Eukaryota, Viridiplantae, Streptophyta, Magnoliopsida, Poales, Poaceae.